Molecule: ribosomal RNA, 897 nt
Filed under: uncultured bacterium
Lineage: Bacteria
Description: bacterial SSU rRNA
Rfam family: Bacterial small subunit ribosomal RNA
Source: RNAcentral
GUAGGUGGUGUGUCGCNUCGUCUGUGAAAUUCCGGGGCUUAACUCCGGGCGUGCAGGCGAUACGGGCACGACUAGAGUGCUGUAGGGGUAACUGGAAUUCCUGGUGUAGCGGUGAAAUGCGCAGAUAUCAGGAGGAACACCGAUGGCGAAGGCAGGUUACUGGGCAGUUACUGACGCUGAGGAGCGAAAGCAUGGGGAGCGAACAGGAUUAGAUACCCUGGUAGUCCAUGCUGUAAACGGUGGGCGCUAGGUGUGGGCUGUGUGUUUGCAGUCUGUGCCGUAGCUAACGCAUUAAGCGCCCCGCCUGGGGAGUACGGCCGCAAGGCUAAAACUCAAAGGAAUUGACGGGGGCCCGCACAAGCGGCGGAGCAUGUGGAUUAAUUCGAUGCAACGCGAAGAACCUUACCUGGGUUUGACAUGCACCAGAUCGGCGUAGAGAUACGUCCUCCCUUGUGGUUGGUGCACAGGUGGUGCAUGGUUGUCGUCAGCUCGUGUCGUGAGAUGUUGGGUUAAGUCCCGCAACGAGCGCAACCCUUGUCUUAUGUUGCCAGCACAUUUUUGGUGGGGACUCAUGAGAAACUGCCGGGGUCAACUCGGAGGAAGGUGGGGAUGACGUCAAAUCAUCAUGCCCUUUAUACCCAGGGCUUCACACAUGCUACAAUGGUCGGUACAACGGGUUGCGACACUGUGAAGUGAAGCUAAUCUCUUAAAGCCGGCCUCAGUUCGGAUUGGGGUCUGCAACUCGACCCCAUGAAGUCGGAGUCGCUAGUAAUCGCAGAUCAGCAACGCUGCGGUGAAUACGUUCCCGGGCCUUGUACACACCGCCCGUCACGUCAUGAAAGUUGGUAACACCCGAAGCCCAUGGCCUAACCACCGCUUUUGUGGUGGGGGGAGUGG